RNAcentral lists this ribosomal RNA (300 nucleotides) under Triticum aestivum (bread wheat). RNAcentral's name for it is "partial small subunit ribosomal RNA". Lineage: Eukaryota; Viridiplantae; Streptophyta; Magnoliopsida; Poales; Poaceae. The record is from RNAcentral.
AUGUAUGCUGAGGCAAAUCUUCACAUGCAGCUCAGACACCCAACGCCGCUGCUUAGAAACUCAGUUCCAAAGCAAUCUCAGGCAUCCCAGCAAGUUGGAGGUGAUUAUGAACUUGAUAGCAAUGUGCUUACAUCGUUAAAGGCGAAAGUUGAAGGUGAAAAGCAUAUUAAAAAUGACUUAGACCUACCCAUGGAUAGUAUGAAGUGCACAGACGGAACCCGGCCUUGUUGUCACAAGAUAUUUAUGUACAUUUCACUAAAAGAAAGAUAUUUAUGUGCGUUUGGGAGCAUACAUAUAUGA